Molecule: ribosomal RNA, 442 nt
Filed under: Proteus mirabilis
Lineage: Bacteria; Pseudomonadati; Pseudomonadota; Gammaproteobacteria; Enterobacterales; Morganellaceae
Description: bacterial SSU rRNA
Rfam family: Bacterial small subunit ribosomal RNA
Source: RNAcentral
AACGCUGGCGGCAGGCCUAACACAUGCAAGUCGAGCGGUAACAGGAGAAAGCUUGCUUUCUUGCUGACGAGCGGCGGACGGGUGAGUAAUGUAUGGGGAUCUGCCCGAUAGAGGGGGAUAACUACUGGAAACGGUGGCUAAUACCGCAUAAUGUCUACGGACCAAAGCAGGGGCUCUUCGGACCUUGCACUAUCGGAUGAACCCAUAUGGGAUUAGCUAGUAGGUGGGGUAAAGGCUCACCUAGGCGACGAUCUCUAGCUGGUCUGAGAGGAUGAUCAGCCACACUGGGACUGAGACACGGCCCAGACUCCUACGGGAGGCAGCAGUGGGGAAUAUUGCACAAUGGGCGCAAGCCUGAUGCAGCCAUGCCGCGUGUAUGAAGAAGGCCUUAGGGUUGUAAAGUACUUUCAGCGGGGAGGAAGGUGAUAAGGUUAAUACCCUU